CAGAGGGUGCGAGCGUUGUCCGGAAUCACUGGGCGUAAAGGGCGCGUAGGCGGCCUGAUAAGUAGGGGGUGAAAUCUUGCGGCUCAACCGCAAGGCUGCCUUCUAAACUGUCAGGCUGGAGCACGGUAGAGGCAGAUGGAAUUCCCGGUGUAGCGGUGGAAUGCGUAGAGAUCGGGAAGAACACCAGUGGCGAAGGCGGUCUGCUGGGCCGUUGCUGACGCUGAGGCGCGACAGCGUGGGGAGCAAACAGGAUUAGAUACCCUGGUAGUCCACGCCGUAAACGAUGGGCACUAGGCGUCGGGGGGAGCGACCCUCCCGGUGCCGUCGCUAACGCAGUAAGUGCCCCGCCUGGGGAGUACGGCCGCAAGGCUG
Molecule: ribosomal RNA, 372 nt
Filed under: uncultured organism
Description: bacterial SSU rRNA
Rfam family: Bacterial small subunit ribosomal RNA
Source: RNAcentral